Molecule: non-coding RNA, 31 nt
Filed under: Mus musculus (house mouse)
Lineage: Eukaryota; Metazoa; Chordata; Mammalia; Rodentia; Muridae
Source: RNAcentral
UUCAAACAGGAGCUUGUUAGGAUGACCUAGC